AUGGACCAGGGACGCUGUGAGCUUCCCGCCAUGACUGCCACGCUGGGGCAGGCCCUGGGCUCCCUCCUGCCCACCCUUCUGCUGGGACUCGCAGCUGGCCAGCCGUUCAUCACGCUGACGGGCCCGGCGGAGAGGGCAGCCCCUGGAAACUCGGUGCCUUUCAACUGCACCGCCGGCCCCUUCAGCUCCCAGGACAUCAGUGUCACCUGGAUGAAGGACUGGGAUGAGCAUCCAGCCUCCGCUCAGCGCCUGGUGACUGAUGACAAAGGGAAUUACUCCAUCACCAGUAAGGUGUGGCUGACGCUGGUGCGCCAAGAUGUCUCGUCAGAGAUCACCUGCGAAGUCACCCACGGGGACCUGGCAGCGCCCCUGCACAGGACCAUGAACCUCUCCCAAGUGCUCCGAGUCGUUCCCACCAUGAAGAUCACCGCCCAGCCCUCCGAGGCGAGCACCCCCCAUCAUCAGAGGGUGAAUCUCACUUGCCACGCCAGCCACUUCUAUCCCUCCCACCUGCACCUCACCUGGAUGGAGAACAGGCACACCGUCCACACCGAGCCGGCCCCCCAGGUCACCAGAAACGCGGACGGGACCUACUCGCUGGAGCACACGUGGCAGGCAGCGGCCACGCCCAACGGGAGCGAGUUUGCCUGCUGGGUGGUCCAGGACGAGCAGCCCCCGGUCCAGGCCAACAUCACCCUGCGGGCUCAGGCGUCCCGGCUGCGGAAAGGCGGGAGCAGCUACUCUUACACCUUGCAAGGCCCCCCUCAGCGAUCGGAGCCGGGCACAAGCAUCCUACUGAAGUACACGUCCUCCGGAUUCCACACGCAGCACGUCACGGUGGCCUGGCUUAAAAACAACCACACGCUGCCGAACCCCCAGACCAGCGUCCACCCCAGCAGAGACACCUACAACGUGAGCAGCAGCGUGCGCGUCCCCCUGCAGGCUGAGGAUGUGCGCUCCCAAGUCUUCUGCCUCGUCAUGCACAAGUCGAAAUUGGCUUUCCAGAAAACCAUCAACCUGGACCAGUACCUCCGUGUUUCCCCUGCAGUGACAAUGUCUCAGGCUUCAAUGUCCUCAGACUUGGUAGCAAUUACUUGCCACGUGCAGAGAUUCUAUCCACAAAGUGUGCAACUCACCUGGCUGGAGAACUGCGAUACAUUCAAGGGAGCUGAGCCAUCCACACCCAAGAAGAAUGUUGAUGGGACCUACACCCUGGAAAGCUUGCAAUGGGUGAAUGCAUCAGGGCACGGGUCUGAGAGGGUAUUCACCUGUAAGGUACAGCAUGAGGCACAGCCUCCCGUCUGGGCCAACCUCAUACUGUCCCCAGCAGCCCGCGGGACAUACAAGCCCAUUGAAAACCCAGGUCCAGAGACACCUGCCCUUAUCUUUGUGGCUUUCCUCCUGGGCCUCAAGCUGCUGCUGGUGACGAGUUUCACAGUCACCUACAUCCACAGGUGUUGGAACCUGUAA
Molecule: non-coding RNA, 1470 nt
Organism: Myotis lucifugus (little brown bat)
Lineage: Eukaryota; Metazoa; Chordata; Mammalia; Chiroptera; Vespertilionidae
Source: the annotation of a RefSeq genome assembly